Molecule: RNA transcript, 912 nt
Organism: Rhea pennata
Lineage: Eukaryota; Metazoa; Chordata; Aves; Rheiformes; Rheidae
Gene: HIKESHI
Gene name: heat shock protein nuclear import factor hikeshi
Exons: 5
Source: RefSeq, a predicted model, not a curated record
GGUCGGGGGCGCGGUGGUUUCCGGGAGUCGGCACUCAUGGAGGCUCUGAAGCAGCCAAGCGUCUGAGGGCCUCGGCGGCUGCCGCCGCCAUGUUCGGCUGCCUGGUGGCGGGGAGGCUGGUGCAGGCAGCCCCUCAACAAGUGGCUGAGGACAAGUUUGUCUUUGACAUACCGGACUAUGAAAACAUCAACCACAUUGUGGUGUUCAUGCUGGGAACUCUGCCAUUUCCUGAAGGAAUGGGAGGAUCUGUCUAUUUUUGUUAUCCAGACCAGAAUGGGAUGGCAGUGUGGCAACUGCUUGGAUUUGUCACUAAUGAGAAGCCAAGUGCCAUCUUCAAAAUUUCUGGUCUCAAAUCUGGGAAAGGAAGCCAACACCCUUUUGGUGCCAUGAACCUCCCUCAAACGCCAACGGUAGCCCAGAUUGGAAUCUCAGUGGAACUGCUGGAGAGUUUGGCCCAACAGACUCCUGUUGCAAGUGCUGCUGUAUCAUCAGUAGAUUCAUUCACUGAGUUCACUCAGAAGAUGUUGGAUAACUUCUAUAAUUUUGCUUCCUCAUUUGCUGUUACUCAGGCACAGAUGACUCCAAAUCCUUCUGAAGCUUUCAUUCCUGCAAAUGUAGUUCUGAAAUGGUAAUGGAAAUGAUCUCAAGCACUUUUUUUUUUCUCUCCUCAUCAAAAUGGCUAGUUUCGAGGUAUGAGAACUUCCAGAGACGUCUGACACAGAACCCUCUCUUUUGGAAAACAUAAGCUUAAAUCAUGGCAUUUGAAGUGCUUUCUAAAGAGUAUUAUCUGAAAGAUGCAGCAAUUAUCUCCACUAAAGUUUUUUUGGGAAAAAACGAUUAGUCUGAAUAGACAACCUUGUAGCUUUUGUAAUACUCUCAAAAAUUAUUUAAAAUUAAAAUCCAUGAAAACUA